This 253-nucleotide ribosomal RNA is filed under the name uncultured bacterium. RNAcentral's name for it is "partial 16S ribosomal RNA". It matches the Rfam family "Bacterial small subunit ribosomal RNA", at positions 524 to 776 of the family's 1533-position model. The record is from RNAcentral.
UACGAAGGGGGCUAGCGUUGUCCGGAAUCAUUGGGCGUAAAGAGCGUGUAGGCGGCUCGGUAAGUCCGCUCUGAAAGCCCGGGGCUCAACCCCGGGAGGCGGGCGGAUACUGUCGGGCUAGAGUCCGGAAGAGGCGAGUGGAACUCCUGGUGUAGCGGUGAAAUGCGCAGAUAUCAGGAAGAACACCAAUGGCGAAGGCAGCCCCCUGGUUGGAUACUGACGCUGAUACGCGAAAGCGUGGGGAGCAAACAGG